UACAGAGGGGGCAAGCGUUGUUCGGAAUUACUGGGCGUAAAGCGCACGUAGGCGGCUUUCUAAGUCGGGGGUGAAAUCCUGGAGCUCAACUCCAGAACUGCCUUCGAUACUGGAGAGCUCGAGUCCGGGAGAGGUGAGUGGAACUGCGAGUGUAGAGGUGAAAUUCGUAGAUAUUCGCAAGAACACCAGUGGCGAAGGCGGCUCACUGGCCCGGUACUGACGCUGAGGUGCGAAAGCGUGGGGAGCAAACAGG
This 253-nucleotide ribosomal RNA is filed under the name uncultured bacterium. Its description in RNAcentral is "partial 16S ribosomal RNA". It matches the Rfam family "Bacterial small subunit ribosomal RNA", at positions 524 to 776 of the family's 1533-position model. The record is from RNAcentral.